This 774-nucleotide ribosomal RNA is filed under the name uncultured Neocallimastigales. RNAcentral's name for it is "partial large subunit ribosomal RNA". It matches the Rfam family "Eukaryotic large subunit ribosomal RNA", at positions 26 to 614 of the family's 3401-position model. The record is from RNAcentral. Lineage: Eukaryota; Fungi; Neocallimastigomycota; Neocallimastigomycetes; Neocallimastigales.
CGCAUCUGUGCAUGCAGCAUAUCAAUAAGCGGAGGAAAAGAAACUAACAAGGAUUCCCCUAGUAACGGCGAGUGAAGCGGGAAGAGCUCAAAUUUGAAAUCUUAAAGGGUUUCCCUUUACGAAUUGUAGUUUAAAGAAGUGUUUUCUGUUGAGGUUUUGGUAAAAGUUCUUUGGAAUAGGACAUCAUAGAGGGUGAGAAUCCCGUAUUUGACCUUUACUUUCAACUUUGUGAUACACUCUCAAAGAGUCGGAUUGUUUGGGAAUGCAGUCCAAAAUGGGUGGUAAAUUUCAUCUAAAGCUAAAUAUUGGCGAGAGACCGAUAGCGAACAAGUACCGUGAGGGAAAGAUGAAAAGAACUUUGAAAAGAGAGUUAAACAGUACGUGAAAUUGUCAAAGGGAAGCGUUUGACACCAGUGUUGUUUUUCUGAAAAUCAAUUAAAGAACUGUUUAUGCUAAGUUGUUUAGACUUUAUCAGCUAACUGUUUAGUUUUGAGCUUUUCUUUAAUGCACUUUUCAGUUAACAAGUCAACAUCAAUUUCUUUUGCUGUAAAAAAGCUUGAGGAAGGUGGCUUGAGAUUCGUCUUAAGUGUUUAUAGCCUCUUGCCUAUGCAGUCGGAGAGAUUGAGGUCUGCAGCGUAGAUCCUUCGGGGCUAAAUGCAUUUGUGCUAAGUUAUAGCAUUUUAUAGGACAACUUGUUGACUAUGAUUUGUCUUGUAGCUUACUCGCUUAUGUUAUUUUACCUACGCUUAGGAUGUUGAACGCGCACAGAGUCUC